Molecule: ribosomal RNA, 520 nt
Filed under: uncultured Glomus
Lineage: Eukaryota; Fungi; Glomeromycota; Glomeromycetes; Glomerales; Glomeraceae
Description: SSU rRNA
Rfam family: Eukaryotic small subunit ribosomal RNA
Source: RNAcentral
AGCAGCCGCGGUAAUUCCAGCUCCAAUAGCGUAUAUUAAAGUUGUUGCAGUUAAAAAGCUCGUAGUUGAAUUUCGGGGUCAGUAGGUUGGUCAUGCCUCCGGUAUGUACUGGUCUCACUGAUUCCUCCUUCCUGAUGAGCCGUAAUGCCAUUAAUUUGGUGUUGCGGGGAAUCUGGACUGUUACUUUGAAAAAAUUAGAGUGUUUAAAGCAAGCUAACGCUUGAAUACAUUAGCAUGGAAUAAUGGAAUAGGACGUUCGAUCCUAUUUUGUUGGUUUCUAGGAUUGACGUAAUGAUUAAUAGGGAUAGUUGGGGGCAUUAGUAUUCAAUUGUCAGAGGUGAAAUUCUUGGAUUUAUUGAAGACUAACUACUGCGAAAGCAUUUGCCAAGGAUGUUUUCAUUAAUCAAGAACGAAAGUUAGGGGAUCGAAGACGAUCAGAUACCGUCGUAGUCUUAACCAUAAACUAUGACCGACUAGGGAUCGGAUGAUGUUAAAUUUUUAUGUACUCAUUCGGCUACCG